CAUAAAUCAACGUGUGAUUAUACGUGUGUGUCUGAAUCUUUCGGUAUGCAGUUUUAAAAUAUAUCUUGUCAUUUAUAAAAAUGUGUGUGUGUUACUGAACAUUACCUGUGAUACACUGCAUAUCCUGUAUUCCUCACACCUUAUGACAGCCGACCCAGCAGGGGCUGCGACCUUUGGGCUUAUCUUCAACUUUGAUCUACUCUUUAUUCAUUCACUAUAUCUGCAGCACUCUCCCCGCAAGCUCACUUCUUUCUCUCUCUCUCUCUCUCUCUCUCCCUGUCUUUCCCUAAAUCUCAGUGGUUCACCAGGCAAUGUCAACAACACCCAGGAGCCGUGGGGUAAGGGGUCAUGGGUCGGGACCCUUGAGAACCUUCCAGUGUUGCCAGUGCAGGAGUGACCAGUGACUGCUGUGUUUUCUCUUUCAUUUCCGUAAACCGCUGACAGGGCCGGAUGGCUGCUGUUUGAAAUCUGACAACAAUUAAAACGCCCUUAACAAGGCAUCUGAUUUCCCCAGAGUCUCACAUCGAUACAAUGUCUCCUUCAUUAAGGCAUGCAUGUAUUCAUUUAUUCAAUUAUGCAUUCACCUAUUGACUCACUUUGGCCCGAAUGUCGCAGGAUGUCCGUGCGUAUGUGCGUGAAUAAAUAAAUGCCUACUCAUGCAUGCUUAAGUGUGUUUGUGUUUGUCCGGUCAGCAGGUUGGAAUAUAUUACAGUGUUAUGCGGGGUAAUCAAUUCCCAAAGCUUUAUAACAACUGUCCACCAAAAAGAGAAAAUGAAGCCAGUGAUGGAAGAGGGCUGUCUGCUCACAGCAGGGCCCAGACACAUAAAACCUCAUAGAGUCUCACUUACAGCAAGACUAAGACAACCAGGAAUUCUCAUCAGAUUCUCAGUGUAAAGAGGCGCAUUCAAAUGAUCCAGUGGCUUACGGAUAGUUAAUGCCGUUCCUUGUAGUCAAGAACCAAUGAACUCUUUCAAGAAAUGAGCGACAACUUCCUCUUUGGAAUUUUGAUUGGUAUAAUUCCUACGGGACACGGGAUUGAGGACAGAAAUUGGAUCAAGGAGACAAAAGAUGAGCCCAUUUUCUGCAAAUCGUGCCUCUUAGAAAAGCCUCCGAGUACACAGAGGAAAUGAGGCGGAGCGCCACCUCUCACCUCUGAGGUUUUGAUGUGGCAAGCUGUUUGGAUACUGUGGGCAUUUAUUUAUUUUAUAACUGAUCCUGGUUCUGCUCCAGCUGGGGAGAAUAAAGCAGAUGGAAUGUUUUCGAGUGUAAACACACUGACACGAAGGCUUACACCGGAGGGCGAUUUCUACCUCGACAUGUCCUGACUGUUAGAGCGGGGUGAUCUGUGGUGAAAGGGGUCGGUGUGGGAAGUGACCCUGGUUGUUUUAAAUAAAUAAUGAGAUGAACUCUGUCGUGGUGAAAAAAGACAGUUUAUUAUGAGAUCAAAAGAUGUGAUCAUAAAGUAUAAGCAGUUGUGAGUUUGGUGUAUUUUUGUCGUCUUGAUUCAUGGCACGUUAGUGGGUGUGUUUUGUUUGAACAGCAGGAGUUCAUAUUUGGAGGUGGGGGACAUAUUCACAUCACUCAUUGUUUUCUCGUACUGUUUAUUUAUGUAAACAAUGUGCUCUAAACACUGAAUUUAUGAGACAUCCAACUGUGCACAUCAGCUGAUGUUUUUCUGUUGUCUGUUUGGCAUUUAAACAUAAUA
This is a non-coding RNA of Misgurnus anguillicaudatus (oriental weatherfish), 1705 nucleotides long. NCBI's taxonomy places the organism in Eukaryota, Metazoa, Chordata, Actinopteri, Cypriniformes, Cobitidae. The record is from RefSeq and is a predicted model, not a curated record.